This is a long non-coding RNA of Rhineura floridana, 3976 nucleotides long. RefSeq lists it as uncharacterized. The transcript has 5 exons. NCBI's taxonomy places the organism in Eukaryota, Metazoa, Chordata, Lepidosauria, Squamata, Rhineuridae. The record is from RefSeq and is a predicted model, not a curated record.
CAGGACGGAGGAGUCGCCCUUUCGGCGUCUUCAUGACGACGUUUGCAUUGGCUCCGGUAGGGCGGGGAAGAGAAGGGACGCGCCUCUGUUGUUGGCCGGGUGCCGCAGGCCUUGCUCCUGGGCCAGUGGAGAGACUUGCCGCCUGACUCUGCUGAGCAAGUUUACUUAGGAGUCAUGCCCAUUGGCUUCAGUCUUGGGAUUGUAGAAGCAUAGUAGGGCUGUCGGAGCAAACACGAAGAGAAGGGGCACUAUAAGAUCUGCUGGUCUCUGCAGAGACAGGAUGAUCCCUUCUUUUUUCAGACCAAAACGGCAGCAGCCCAGGAGUGGACAAAUCUGAACCUAACUAUAUUUGCAUGCCACAAUUAUAUGUCAACACCACCGCCCCUGAGUGUAUAAGAAAGAAGAUUCCAAAGCAAAGUCAACCAUGCCAGUCUUGUCUUGAGAAAAGAGCUUCAGUGCAUUAUUGACAAUGAUGCGUGCUUGCUGCAAAUAAACAUAAUAGAACUAUGAGAAACUGGGAGGAAACACUAUUUCAGCAUUCUGAUAUGCUGAUAACAAGAAAGAGAAAUCCAAAAGAGGAAGAUCCCACAUGUAUUAGAAUUAAGCACAAAAUUAGGGAAAGGAAUCUCAGAUUCAAAUGCAUUACACAAAAAAUAUUUGGACACAAAAGCAGCAAAGGAUCCUGCAAGCAAAUCCAAGUCUAAGAAAUGGGAAGAUGUGGGUAAGCCAGUAAAGCUCAAUGGUUACAAACACUGGAUGACCCAUGGUAAGAAACAGGGAACGUGCAUUCAGAUAGUGGACAGACAAAGACAUGAGGUUAAGACUUACAGACACACCGACAAAGAUGCCUGCAAUACUAAAUAUUUUCUUUGUGCCUCACUGAAGGUACAAGUUCUUGUAACCAAGGAGUGGAAGGACAAACCACCUGAUAUGCUUUCUUUCUCCAGUUUUAGUUGUGUGCAUGCAUUCCAAAUUCAGGACUUCAUUGCCCAAGAUGUAAUAUGGUAUUCUUCAAGGAUGGCCACUUCUGUCUGUUAUUAAAGAAUGUCUGUGCCUACCAACAUGCAGUAAAGAACUGCUGUUUCACCCUGCUUCUCUGUUUUUCUUUAAGUAAAAUGGCCUAAAUGAUGCAAUAUACAAGUUUUUUUCUUUCCCAGUUUGUCAAUACAAAUUUUUUUUUGCUCUGUUUCUCUAAGCAAGUGAUUAAAGGAGAGAGUGCAAGGAUGGGAGAAGGGAGUGCAGAGGUGUCAUGGAAGUGUAUUAAGCUUCCCUUUAGCAGGUAAAAGUAUAGUGACAUCACCUUUAAUAAAGAGUGGUGUGUUGAAGGAACCCCAGCUCCCAUUGGAAAGGGGUAGUUUUAAGAUUGAGGCAUACAGGAUGUAGACAGAAGGUUUGAGAUACGUAGAAAAACAGCGAAAAGGUUAAAGAGUCAGUGACUAUUUGUGGUGGUUGAGGAAUAUCUUGGGCAAAUUAAUGGAUUGACUCAUGGGAGGAGGAGGGAAAAGAAUAAUCUUAUUUUCUUAACGCACAAUAACAUGCCCACUAUCCUGUUGAUGAUAUGGGGAAUCUUAGGAGCACAUGCAGAAUGGAAGGCAGGCAUUCUGGAAAAUACUGGCAUCUAGCCCAUCCCCACCAAUGCUUGUACAGUAGGGCCCCGCUUAUACGGCGGGUUCCGUUCCAUACCCCCGCCGCAAAGCGGAAAACGCCAUAAAGCGGAACCCCAUUGACUUUAAUGGGCUGCGUUGCGCAAAAAUGACGCAAAAACGACGCAAAAACGGUGCAAAACGUCGCAAAAGGGAAAAAACCCUUUAAAAUGGAAAACAAAAGCCACCGCAUCAGCGGAACGCCGUAAAACGGGGCCCUACUGUAUCUGUUAUCAGGACCCAGGAGUGGAGAUGGCCUGUCAAUUUCAGAGUUGCUAAGUAAUGCUUCUAGGAGACAACAACUGGAAAAAAAGAUGUCCUCCAUCAGCUACAUGUCGUACAGAGUGCAGCUUGUGAGGAGACACGAUUAAUUAGAUGCACCCAGGGUCCCCAGAAGCAGCAAGUUCAUUUUUGCCAUGAUUCUUCUGUGGACACCAAGAUUUCCUGCACCCCACUAUUUGGUGAAAUGUCCCAAGGCAGCGACAUGAUUCAUGAAGAAGUUUGCAACAUUUUAUUGAUUUCUAUGGUCACUUGGGGGGAGGGAUCACCAUUGCACUUCCAGGUUUUUAUGACAAGUGCCAAGAAAAGAAGACCCACCAAUAAACUGGCUCUUGUCCUGAUUUCAUCAAAAGGGCAAGAAUAUCCCAGAACUAUAACAGACUGGAAGCGGUUCAAUGGACUUAUGGAUGUAACAAAAAUACACACUGCAUUAAGAUUGUUUAUUGUAAUGGUAGAAGCGGCUGAAAUCAUUACUGUUUAUCCUGCAAUUCCUUUGGGAAUCACUGCAGAUCAAGAUUUAGUCCUUUAUGCCCAGGAAUUUCACCAGUGGGCUAUAGCUAAGCAUACAAGAUGGGUAACAAUUAAUGUUAAAGGUUGUAAACAUCAUAAGAAUUUAGGAUUUUUUUGUGAAGAUGAUAGUUUGGAAUCCCAUCAAGAUUGCUUUUCUCUCAGAAUGAUUAAUGUCUCUUAUUGCUCUUUCAUGCUAAGAAAUGAAUCAAGUUCAACUAUUGUAUAUUCUGGACAUGGGUGCAUGUGCCUUAGAACGUUUUGUGAUUAUGUUGUUAUUGAUAAGUAUUACAUACAACCUAUGCUAAGAUAUAUUAAUAGAUGCUUUUGUGGUAUUGAGGAAAUAGUAGGAUGUGAUUUUUCAUUUAAGGUGCCAGUAUGGACCAUUCAGAGAAUAUUAGCUAAUCCAAAUUUGUUUCAAAACCUUUGACCCAUUGCAUUAGGUUAUGGCCUUGCUGAUCUCCAACAGUUACUUUCCCACCCUAUGUUGCAGAGACAAUUAGAAGCAGUGAAACAAUUGGGACAGCAAGCCACACUCCAGAUAACACAUGAACGCCAUGCCAUCACCAAUAUAGCAGCCAAGAUUAAACAGAUACACACAAAUGGUGGAACGCACUGCUUGGCUGGAGUGAAGGAGCCAAAGGAAGUUUAAACCUUUUAAUACAACCCAUUGUGGUGAUUCUAAUGGUUCAAGUAAUUUUGGUCGUCGUCUUAAUGGCCCUGGUAAGAUGGAUCCUGUCCCUAAUGGCACAGUUACACCAGAUGGAAGGAAGCAUGAGAGCCCAAUGGCAAGACCAUGAAGUCUGAGGUGUGAAAAGACAUCUGUAUAAGUAUAUUCAGAUGUUUUUCAACGGGGGGAGUGUUACAACUGCUCAGCUAACCCCAUUUUUGGUUCAAGAGGAACCCAGGAGGUGCAAGGCCCUGAAGCAGAAUUCCCACCCCACACACACCCUUGUAUGGCUAGCUAUGCGUUCCUCAGGUAUGGUGUAACAAGGCCAUCCUGUGUGAAACAAAAAUAACCAAGAGCAAUUGGAAUAAAUGUUAUCUUCUCUUUGGCAGACUUCCCUCACGCACAGCAGAAUCAUCCCAUUGUUCAAAAAGUAGCUUUAGUUUUUCAGUGUCAGCUAGAAACACACACACACAAAAUCACCUCAUACCCAGACCCCUCCUUUGCAGGGGGGCAAGAGAGAAAAAGUGUCUUUUAAAAAAGAGAGGCUUGAGUUGGGGGGUAAUGGUAAUCGGAGCUCCAACACGUGUAACAACGCUCUCAACGCAGGACUGCAGGGAGAGAACCAGGAAGGGAUUUUGUGUCUCGGCACCAGCCUUGAGACAAACAGAAUCCUUCCUGUUUUGGGACCAGAGCUCUUCCACAUCACUUCAGCUGUAUUCAGCUGCCCACUCCUGGGCCUAGGAUAGAUAAUCUCUUCUACCUGUCACUCCUUAUAGUAAUAGGGUCCUUUGAUCUCUUUAGUUUAACGUUAGGAAUGGGUUAGGAUAUUAAUGAUUAAUGCUGCCAUGCACCCAGUAAUUUUCUAAUACUAUUCUUU